AAAAAAGCACAGAUGGGAAAGAGUAACAUAGGGAAAACAGACAGAGAGCUGCCGGCAGGUGAGAGGCGCGUGGGGAACUUAUGUGAAUACCUCCCGGAGCUCUGCACCGAACACCUCAGAGAUAUUGUAAGGGUAAGUAGGCUGCAGCGGAGUGGCAUCCGUUAACAUGCUUAAGUAACAGAGAGAACCGUUGUUUAUCAUAACAAUGGCAUGGUUUGUUACUUAUUGAGGCAGAGAAUGCGAGUUUUCUGCGAAUUUAGGUGGUAUCGCGGGACCCGGUUCUCGUCCUAAAU
Molecule: non-coding RNA, 293 nt
Filed under: Ruminococcus sp.
Lineage: Bacteria; Bacillati; Bacillota; Clostridia; Eubacteriales; Oscillospiraceae
Description: T-box sequence
Rfam family: T-box leader
About the family: Uncharged tRNA acts as the effector for transcription antitermination of genes in the T-box leader family. T-boxes are found upstream of many aminoacyl-tRNA synthetase genes and some amino acid biosynthetic genes usually in Gram-positive bacteria. The anticodon of a specific tRNA base pairs to a specifier sequence within the T-box motif, and the NCCA acceptor tail of the tRNA base pairs to a conserved bulge in the T-box antiterminator hairpin.
Source: RNAcentral